This is a non-coding RNA of Ictidomys tridecemlineatus (thirteen-lined ground squirrel), 3704 nucleotides long. NCBI's taxonomy places the organism in Eukaryota, Metazoa, Chordata, Mammalia, Rodentia, Sciuridae. The record is from RefSeq and is a predicted model, not a curated record.
UUAAACCCUCUUGCAGAGUAAAUGAUACAGAAAUGCAACUUAGGCAGGGAUUUGUACUCAAACGAAUGAAAAUUUAAAUUGAAUCCAUGAGUUUCAUUGGCUCAGGAAAGACAGAGAAGCCAAGAGGCAAAGGGCUCCACCCUCUCUGGACCCUAAGGCCAAGUCCCUUCAGGAUGGGUCCCAGACAGUUUUCUCUGAACAUGUGCUUCCCAGACAUUCAAUUUCAUGGACUGGUAAAAUGACCAAAAACAUGAGAAUGCAUCUAGUACCAACGAUUUAUUUUGCCUAGUAAGGGCACCAAAGCAAGCGAAUCAAUUCCCUAUUUUUUUUUAUUUGCCUUCAUAUCAUAAUUAAGAAAGAAAUGUUUUAAUAGCAAAAAGAAAUUACGUUCAAGAACAUUUUGAUACCAAAAAUGUCAUGAAGUCAAAGAACACAGGAGACAGUCAUUCUUGUCUUUACAUAUGAAAAAUAAUACACCUUCUUUAUUUUAUUAUUUUUGUCAAAAACCAGUGCCACAGCCCAACUCUAUGAAACCACUGCUCUAAUAUAGUCUAACCCACUCAGAACUGAUAUUCUUUCAGACUCUUGGGUGAUCAGAAGAAAAACAACAACUCCAGUGUGUUCAAGUGUGUGGAAUAAUCCAGGGGUCAUCUCAAAGGAGGUUUGGAAACAUCCAUACAGUGUCUCAAUUCUUUUUUUUUUUUAAUAUAUUUUUUGGUGGAGUUGGACACAAUAUCUUUAUUUAUUUUUAUGUGGAGCAGAGGAUUGAACCCAGUGCCUCACACGUGUGAGGCAGGCGCAAUACCAAUGAACUACAGCCCCAGCCCAGUGUCUCAAUUCUUUCUAGCACAAAUAACCUAAAGACUGGGUAUGAGUCCAACCACACAACACAUACUACUUGCUGUGUGAACUUUGACAAGUAACAUAACUUCUCUAGACCUCAGUCUCUUCAUCUGUUAAACAGGGUGAAUAAUGCCUCCUCACCCUGGAGGAGCCUGAGAUUAUGAGUGAAAGCCUGGCUCAUAUUCAUGGCCAAUUCCUGGUUCCUGGGAGUUUCCCCUCCUCUGCUCCAGGGUGGCACACCUGCCUAUGUCUCAGGAGUGAGGCCUAUUUGUCUUACCAGGUAUUUGUGUUAUGGGCUUGGGUGAACAAAGAGCUGAGGAGAAACAGAGAGUCUAGUGGUGGGGAGCAGAGACUCAGCAGUAGCUCACUUGGAGCAAGAACCUGUGGACGUCAUUCUUCUGUUCCCUGAAUUAGGGCCCCAACCAUCUGCAUUGCCCUUGGCCACAGUAUUAAGAGGAGAACUUUAUGCUUCCCCCUUCAUGAAACAAAUCCUCUAGCCAUUUACAUUUUCUCAAUCCCUCAACUAGGAGUGAUCUCAAGAGUUCUUUGACCUUGUAUGGACCUGACACUGUUCCUCAGCCCCCUCCUUUCUCCUUUCUUCCAACCAGCUGUGAUCCCAUGAUCCACCAUUAUAGUGACAUUACUCCCACUCUGUCCUUGCCUCCAUCUCCCACUGGAGUGCUCACUCACCAAAUUUCUGAACGUUAUUAGAUACAACUCUCCAUAAAUGUUGAAUCUACAUCUGCACAAUCUCUUUUAAAAAUACUGUCUUGCCAAUGAUCUCACUAGAAUUUAUGGUCUCUGUCUUCAAGGGAGCUGGUAAUGCUGAUCAAAGAUCUGUUACAUGUCCCUGGCCCAGCCUACCCCAAACUGUCCUAGACAAACAUCUUCAUCAUUCCAAGGCCCUCCAGCCCCUCUCCCGGCAACCUCACAUCUUCCCCCUUUCUCCUAGGUGUCCAAACCUUCCCUUUACUCUCAGAUAAAGACCUCUCAUUCCAUCUCAAAGAGCAGAAGAAACCAGAAGAGAACCCCCACACACUCUCACCAACUCGUUCACUUUUCUGAGCCUGUGGCCAGACACUGUUUCUCUUCCUGCUUUGGUGGAUAAACUAUAUUUCAGCCUUCAGACUCUGGCUCCAGGAAGAUUCAAUAUCAAGUCCUGUUCCUGACACCAUGGCACAUAUGAUUUCCAACAGAAGACAGGAUUCGGGGACCAGCCUUAGACCACCAGCUGGUGAGAAUACUCACAAAUGUCCUUCUUUCUGAGCUCCCAGAAAACUCAAACUGAAGCUCUCUUUCUGCAUCAAAAAAAUAGCAAUUGAGGAUAUUGUUUCCUUCUUCAAUCAAAAUCCACAUCCUCAAGAAGAUGAUCAGCUAUGCAAUUAAUAAUACUUGAGGCAGAAAGUGGUUUGCCCUCCUCUUGUGACGUUCUCAUCCUGCAGAGCCCUUGUGGAAUUCAGUGUCUCUACCUAGCCUCUGAGGAAACUGCACCACCUACAAGGAUGAAUCUAAGACACUGUCUUUCUGGUUCCCUGGGAAGAGGUGUGUGUUACUCCACUGUGCAAAGGUCAGAAGAGCAAACACUUCAUUUGUCAGGAACCCAAAGAAGAUAACACCAAUGGUUUUUUAAAAUUAUUUUUCAUCAUAGCUCAGAGUCUCACUUUUGAUAUUUUUCUGAUUCAUAUGUACACACCCACACUUACAUAGAGAUUAGAUGAUGGUGAUAGACAUUUGCAUAUACUUUCAGAACAAUUAUGCAUGGAGGUGGAGAAACCCUUAAUACUGGACUCAUGGAGGAAUAUGGAAAAAGUGGAAAAGGUGGCUUUGUGUUCAGUCCCAUGAAAGGCCACCUGCUCUCUGACCUGCCAUGAUCUGCCUGGCAGGAAUGUUGCAGUUGGCUACCGUUGGAGGAACCUCUUGGACACACUGCCUCCAACAGCCAACAGCAAUGGGAAAUCAGCCCGAACUGGCAGCCAACUCCAUCCACCCCAAUGUUUAGCAAGUGAAUCCAGGAGUGGAAAUCUGCCAAUUUAAAUGGAGCAGUCCUCUGUGUGUGCUGUUCCCUUUGAAUGUCUGUAAAAUAAUCCUGACUUCACAUCUCUUAUAGCGUUGUGGUUGAUCUGGUAUGAUGGGAGAAUGGAGAGACAUAAGCAGCCAAUUCUGGAUGAAGAAAGCAUCUCAGUAGGUAACUGAAAAUCAAAGAUAAUGUUCCCAGCUGGUUUGGGGUUGAGGAGUAGUACCAGGAGAAGAACCACACAUCUCUGAUCUCAAAGGAGACCCAGAAGAUGAGCAGAUGGGUGUGAAAGAAUGAUCCUCACCAGCUGGGUGAUCCAUGUGUGGAAAAUUGGGAGUUAACUGUACUCACUCUUUGCCAAAUGGCAUUUGUUACAGCUACCCAGUAUCACAUGUGACCGACGAGACUUGCUAGAGUUUGUAAACAUCCUGGAAGGACAAUGAAAAAAGUCUCCAUUGGAGUUCUGUCUGUAUAUUCCUUAUAAAAGUAAAUGUUCUCUGAUUGGAGAGUUGGGGGAAGGAACAGGAAAAGAGAAGAACGGUGAAAUGAAACCAACCAAACUAUCCUACAUACAUAUAUGAAUAUACCUCAUGUAUAUCCUAUGUAUAUAUAUGAAUAUGCCUCUUUAUAUAUCUAUAAUGCACUCAUUUAAAAUAGAAACUAAGUAAAUAGAAGAAAGGCCAGUAUAAGAGAGGAAAGGGAACAGGGGGAGGGAGUAGGAAGGGAAGGGGGAAGUAUUCCGGAUUGAAUUGGAGUAAAUUAUAAUCCAUGCAUGUAUGAUUGUGUCGGAAUGAACACUGAUAUUAUGCAUAACAUAAUGCAUUAAUAAAAUAUUUUUUAAAGUGAA